Non-coding RNA from Pimephales promelas (fathead minnow), 1525 nucleotides. The record is from RefSeq and is a predicted model, not a curated record. Lineage: Eukaryota; Metazoa; Chordata; Actinopteri; Cypriniformes; Leuciscidae.
UUUUUUUCUUUUUUGGCAAUUUUCUAGUUGGUAAUAAACAUUUAAACAGUUAUCCAUUGUAUCUGAUGUUGUAGGGUACUCAAAAAUUAAAAUAUAACACGGAAAAGUGGGUGAAAUGUUAGCUUUUAGCUAAAGCUAAGCGAGGAUUCUUAUUUCUCCCACAAUGCAUUCCAUGACGUCACAUGAGGCACUCGCUGACUGUUGGACGACAGACAGCCCCGCGGCCCGCCUACCAUUUUGAGGGAGAGUGAUACGAGGAGUUUAAGUUAGCUAGCUAGUGAAGCAGUGACACUGACAGUGACAGAUUUAUAAGUAAAUAAAUAUAGAUAGAUAGAUCUUCCGAAGCUGGGUGCAGUUUGUCAAGAUUAGGCGAGCAGAUUUUUCAGCUAAGUUAACGUUAGCUCUGUCGCCGCCUACUCGAGAAUAUGCAGCGCGCAUUUCAAAGAGGAGGAUAACCACUCAGGAGAUGCCAAGGUGGUCUUACUUCACUUGGAUUAAAGAGUGAGAGGAGUGCUAAAUUACUUCCAACCGCACUGCCGUCUGUGAACGCAAACCUCUCUGCUUGCCCUGUCCCGAGGUCGAGAGACACCGUCUGCCGCAAGCGAGAAAUUGCCACGGUUAUGCAACAUCAUUAAUGAAGGCCCUUCGGGAAAGCUACACCAAUUCACCUGCGGCUCUUCGAGAGGUUAGCGCCAGUUUGUCCCCAUCGCCCCAUCGCCACAUCCUUCAAACAGGUUCCUGAGGAGGCCGUCAGCCUCUACCUAGCCCGGCAGUCACGCUUCAAGAACCUAAUUUCACAUUAUUUUCUUUCCACAGACAAGUCCAAUGGUUUAGUUGUAUUUAUUUAUUUUAGUUGUUAGUUAUCUUCUUUCCUUCUGUCCCUGUCAUCUCAUUUAGUGGUGGUUUCCUGCAUUCUGCAUGUUUUGUUUUUUUCUUUGUGUGCUGUUUCUUUGGUUUUACUUUGCACAAAAUCAUUACUUUUUUUUCUUAGGCUAUUGAUUCCCGUGAUCUUGUUUAUAAAUUCCGAUUCAGCCAUUAGCCUACCUUCGUGAUCACGCAAAGCGGUCUGGAGAGGCGGUCUGUUCAGAAUUACAACCAACAUAAAAUAUAAGUGUGCAUAUACAAAUUUGCAGUAAUGUUCGGUAAAAAUAAACUUUAUUAACAUAAAAUGAAACCGGAGAGAUAGUUAAUGAUCCAUAACUGUUAACGGGAUUAAUUUCAGCAUGGCUAAUGUGCCCCUUCUUCCUACCCUAAUCAUGGACUAAACCAUAUCAGAAAACACAUACAAAUACAUGUAUUUGAUGUACAGUACACAUGUAUAUUUGAAUCACACAUAACUAACCUUAACCCAUAAACAUAAUAUAUUAAUUGGCUCUCUGGACUACACUAUUACAGGCUAAAGAUUUUUUGUAUAGAGUUGUUUACUUAAAACCUGUGUCUUUGUUCAGUAAUCUUUGUCCUUGUUCAGAAAAUGUUUAGUAACCAUUACAAGCAAUGCCAAUAAACUGUUUUAUUCUUAUAAAAA